Molecule: ribosomal RNA, 429 nt
Filed under: Pseudomonadota bacterium
Lineage: Bacteria; Pseudomonadati; Pseudomonadota
Description: Proteobacteria bacterium partial 16S ribosomal RNA
Rfam family: Bacterial small subunit ribosomal RNA
Source: RNAcentral
UGGGGAAUAUUGGACAAUGGGCGAAAGCCUGAUCCAGCCAUGCCGCGUGUGUGAAGAAGGUCUUCGGAUUGUAAAGCACUUUAAGUUGGGAGGAAGGGCAGUAAGCGAAUACCUUGCUGUUUUGACGUUACCGACAGAAUAAGCACCGGCUAACUCUGUGCCAGCAGCCGCGGUAAUACAGAGGGUGCAAGCGUUAAUCGGAAUUACUGGGCGUAAAGCGCGCGUAGGUGGUUCGUUAAGUUGAAUGUGAAAGCCCCGGGCUCAACCAGGGAACUGCAUCCAAAACUGGCGAGCUAGAGUAGGGCAGAGGGUGGUGGAAUAUCCUGUGUAGCGGUGAAAUGCGUAGAUAUAGGAAGGAACACCAGUGGCGAAGGCGACCACCUGGGCUCAUACUGACGCUGAGGUGCGAAAGCGUGGGGAGCAAACAGG